Molecule: small nuclear RNA, 103 nt
Organism: Chlorocebus sabaeus (green monkey)
Lineage: Eukaryota; Metazoa; Chordata; Mammalia; Primates; Cercopithecidae
Source: Ensembl
UUGCUUCAACAGCACAAAUAACAAAAUUGGAAUGAUGCAGAGAAGAUUACUAUGGCCACUGCACAAGGAUGUCGUGGAAAUUCAUGACGCAUUCUAUGAAAAA